Drosophila persimilis is the source of this 491-nucleotide long non-coding RNA. RefSeq lists it as uncharacterized. Lineage: Eukaryota; Metazoa; Arthropoda; Insecta; Diptera; Drosophilidae. The record is from RefSeq and is a predicted model, not a curated record. The transcript has 2 exons.
UAUAUGUGUGCGAGUGUGUGCCAUCCCUCGCGUGGAUAUGUGUGGCAUGAGAGCUGCCUAUCCUUUCCCACACAGCGACAGUGCUGUGUGCUUGUACUUUAGACCUGUUUCUUCAUAGGAGCUAAUGCUCAGUAUUUCCCCUUCCCCAUCCCCCAUCCCCCAUCCCCCAGAAAUGUUAAAGGUUGCAUCUUUUGAUAAUCUACUCACCUGCAGAUGCGAUCGGUUUGCAGACGGAAUCGCGAUGCAAUGCGAAUGCUAACAAACUGAAUCUGUGGAGGAGAUUAAAAUAAGUUCAAAAGGUCAUCAAAAGGAUGCACCGCUUCUUUCUGUGCAGUGCAGUGACUCCUAGCUCAAUCCUAUAUAAUCCUCAGACCACGGUUUUCUACAGGAUUCUACAGGACUAUAGUGGGACUGGCAGAUGUAAUACAAUUAUAGAAAUUCAUGUAAACUGAUUAUUAAAUUGAUAAAUAAAGGGAUAUUUCUCCUCUGAA